CGUCAUCUACACCCUCAAGCACUGCUUGGUGAUGGGCGUCUGUCCCGCCUUUGCGCGCGGACUCGCCCCAAAGACAUUGGCAGCGGUCCUGACCGCCUCUCGCGCAGCACAUUUGCGCUUCUCGAGGCGAUGGGGCCUGCAUCCACCAAGCUCAUACCAUGUUUGACCUCGGAUCAGGUAGGGAUACCCGCUGAACUUAA
Molecule: unclassified non-coding RNA, 200 nt
Filed under: soil metagenome
Description: partial contains internal transcribed spacer 2 and large subunit ribosomal RNA
Source: RNAcentral